Molecule: non-coding RNA, 212 nt
Organism: Pelobates cultripes (western spadefoot toad)
Lineage: Eukaryota; Metazoa; Chordata; Amphibia; Anura; Pelobatidae
Source: the annotation of a GenBank genome assembly
CAAUUCUAUAUACAGCACUGCAGGACAUGCUACAAAACUGCAACACACUUGAAGACACAGAGGAACACGGAAAAUACAACAAACGUGGUGCUUCUGAUGUCUGCCAAUACUACCGGUUACUAGUCUUCCAUUCAAAAAUGAAUACUCUUAGACAACCCCUGUUUCCUCAUGGAAACUUGAGCUCUCAGCCCAUGUGUUAUGUGUCUUUACUG